AUUGAACGCUGGCGGCAGGCCUAACACAUGCAAGUCGGACGGUAGCACAGAGGAGCUUGCUCCUCGGGUGACGAGUGGCGGACGGGUGAGUAAUGUCUGGGAAUCUGCCCGAUAGAGGGGGAUAACCACUGGAAACGGUGGCUAAUACCGCAUAACGUCGCAAGACCAAAGAGGGGGACCUUCGGGCCUCUCACUAUCGGAUGAACCCAGAUGGGAUUAGCUAGUAGGCGGGGUAACGGCCCACCUAGGCGACGAUCCCUAGCUGGUCUGAGAGGCUGACCAGCCACACUGGAACUGCGACACGGUCCAGACUCCGACGGGAGGCAGCAGUGGGGAAUAUUGCACAAUGGGCGCAAGCCUGAUGCAGCCAUGCCGCGUGUAUGAAGAAGGCCUUCGGGUUGUAAAGUACUUUCAGCGGGGAGGAAGGCGAUAAGGUUAAUAACCUUGUCGAUUGACGUUACCCGCAGAAGAAGCACCGGCUAACUCCGUGCCAGCCGCCGCGGUAA
RNAcentral lists this ribosomal RNA (506 nucleotides) under uncultured bacterium. RNAcentral describes it as "partial 16S ribosomal RNA". It matches the Rfam family "Bacterial small subunit ribosomal RNA", at positions 29 to 523 of the family's 1533-position model. The record is from RNAcentral.